This 463-nucleotide ribosomal RNA is filed under the name uncultured archaeon. RNAcentral's name for it is "bacterial SSU rRNA". It matches the Rfam family "Archaeal small subunit ribosomal RNA", at positions 351 to 814 of the family's 1478-position model. The record is from RNAcentral.
UACAAUGCUGGCAACAGCGAUAAGGGAACCUCGAGUGCCAGGUUACAAAUCUGGCUGUCGAGAUGCCUAAAAAGCAUUUCAUAGCAAGGGCCGGGCAAGACCGGUGCCAGCCGCCGCGGUAACACCGGCGGCUCGAGUGGUAACCGUUAUUAUUGGGUCUAAAGGGUCUGUAGCCGGCCGGAUAAGUCUCUUGAGAAAUCUGGCAGCUUAACUGUCAGGCUUUCAGGAGAUACUGUCUGGCUCGAGGCCGGGAGAGGUGAGAGGUACUUCAGGGGUAGGGGUGAAAUCUUGUAAUCCUUGAAGGACCACCAGUGGCGAAGGCGUCUCACCAGAACGGACCUGACGGCAAGGGACGAAAGCUAGGGGCACGAACCGGAUUAGAUACCCGGGUAGUCCUAGCCGUAAACGAUACUCGCUAGGUGUCGGCCACGGUGCGACCGUUGUCGGUGCCGUAGGGAAGCCG